CGAUGAGUUAGCGAACUGGUCUUCGGCUUGCUCCGGUACGGGCUCGACUCCGACUGGCUGCAGAUCAGCUACGGCUCCUUCUUCUGGCGCUGGGUGAAGCUCGUAUAUCCCGUCAACGAGGUUCAGCUCUACACGAAAUGCAAUGCAUCAAGUUGAAUUCCCAAGCUUUCUCAUAGGAUGCAAAACACGAAUUAGUACUGAAGAAGAAGUUAUAUUAGGGCCACAUUCACUUAAACAAGGUUCUACACCUUCUUUGUCUGCAUAAAGAAGGUGGGUUGUGGUACAAAACCUAGGGUUGAUUUGAUGAUGAUUGUGUACAUUUAUGUACUUAACUUUAUUAAACUUUAGAUUGGAAAGUUAUCCUAUUUCUGAAUGUUCUUUUGUACCUCUUCUAAAAAUUACCUUUAUCAUAAUUCGAGAUAUUCUUACAUUUAGCUUGGUUCAUCUUCCCAAUUUUAUUUCCAUCCUCAAACAGCAAGCUAUGAAGCCACAAAUUUGACAGGAACUUAAUCUUAUCAUAGAUAAGCUACUGUAUAAAUUUGAGGUCCAUUGGAGGUGCAUAAAAGGAAUUAGAAAUACUUUAUUACCUUAAGGUAGCAUAUACUUAAAAAAAUUUAAAACAGAAGCCAUAACGAAAUUGGUCAUAAAAUUUUAACAAUGCGUUAUAGGGGUGAUAUAGGGCCUUUGAUGAAUUUUUGAUAAUUUUUAGUGAAGGGCAUCUUUUUCCAUACAUUUACCCUAUAUAUUCUUCCCUAAAAAGGAAAAUGGUUUUCCUUUCUGUUUCUGAUCAGGUUCCAUAUUUUUCCUACAAACUACACUAUACCAUUGACUUAUUCUAAUUGGUUUCACAUUUUUAUCAUCUCUGGUUUAAUUAUUGUGCAAAGAGACAAGAGCAACCUUAGAUUUCCAUGAUAAAACUAAAAUAGAGAUUUAACCGUCUAAGCUAGGCUCCAAAUGAUUUUUAUAAGCUUCCAUUCUCUUAAACAAGCACUUGAGAGUUGGAUUUACCUUUUUAAUAUCUUUCUGUGAUUUGUUAUGAUUUAAUUAUCUUAAACAAGGAUUAAAUUAUAUAACAUUAAUCUUAGCAGAGACAUAUGCCAAAAUUAGUUUUAUUAAAAACUACACUUUAUACUGAGUCUAGCAAAAUUAUUUUGACAUUUUUCUGAAUUUUUUAUGAGUUUUGGUGAAUUUCUAAAGUUAACUACAUUUUCUGUCGAUUAUAAAAGAAAAACCGAGGCAAACUUACGGCCCCUAGGUCUAUACUUUAUUUAUGUAGGGGUCCCUGAUCUUUCACUAAAGCCCCUUAUUCGAGUUUCUAAACCGCAAUCGGGUCCCUGGGUGCGCGGUGGCGGCGGCCGGCCGAAAUUCCGGCAACUCGCCGGCGGCCUUGGGACGAUAAGUGGCCGAGGAGGCUUACGGGCUCACCUUGGGCCGGUUUGAAGCAGUUGGGGGUGACGGAGAGGCCCGGUCGGGGCGGAACGGCGCAAGGGCGGGGAGCUUCAAGUGGCGGCGAAGUCCGGCGGUGUUCCGGCGGCGGCGGCACUCUUCGCGGGCAACGAACGAGCUCUAGAGCUGCGCGAGGGGGAGGCGAAGCGGCGGGUGGUGUCGGCGAGGUGCGG
RNAcentral lists this long non-coding RNA (1619 nucleotides) under Setaria italica (foxtail millet). RNAcentral describes it as "long non-coding RNA (SITA_LNC002395)". The record is from RNAcentral. Lineage: Eukaryota; Viridiplantae; Streptophyta; Magnoliopsida; Poales; Poaceae.